Molecule: ribosomal RNA, 478 nt
Filed under: uncultured bacterium
Lineage: Bacteria
Description: partial 16S ribosomal RNA
Rfam family: Bacterial small subunit ribosomal RNA
Source: RNAcentral
GACGAACGCUGGCGGCGUGCUUAACACAUGCAAGUCGAACGGUAAGGCCCUUCGGGGUACACGAGUGGCGAACGGGUGAGUAACACGUGGGUGAUCUGCCCUGCACGUCGGGAUAAGCCUGGGAAACUGGGUCUAAUACCGGAUAAGACCAAGUCCUGCAUGGGUGGUGGUGGAAAGCUUGUGCGGUGUGGGAUGGGCCCGCGGCCUAUCAGCUUGUUGGUGGGGUGAUGGCCUACCAAGGCGACGACGGGUAGCCGGCCUGAGAGGGUGACCGGCCACACUGGGACUGAGAUACGGCCCAGACUCCUACGGGAGGCAGCAGUGGGGAAUAUUGCACAAUGGGCGCAAGCCUGAUGCAGCGACGCCGCGUGAGGGAUGACGGCCUUCGGGUUGUAAACCUCUUUCAGCACCGACGAAGCGCAAGUGACGGUAGGUGCAGAAGAAGGACCGGCCAACUACGUGCCAGCCGCCGCCGUAA